CUGCCUUCAGCUGCUCCACUGAGAUUCACAAACCCAUCUUUCUCAGCACAUGGACGAAGACCCGGGAGGGGGGACCCCUGCCUUUUAAAACUCAGAGAAUCCAGUUUGAUUUCUGAAUCCACGUCCUUCUUUGGAAACAGUCCUGGACCACAAAGGCUUCAGAGGUUCUGAAGUGAAAGUGAUGGAGCUGUAAAGGGUAAUGGCUAUGCCAUAUACUACAAACAGUCUACAUAAGGUUCAUAGUCAGGCAGUAUGUCAAGAACACAGCUAAAGAUUGAUUUUCUUUUUUUAUUAGAACUUAUGUUUAAUGGAUGCCCCAUUGUGUUAACUGAUGUCAAAUUCAGGCUUGUGACUUUAUAAGCUAUGUGGUAGCCUUUAAGCAGAAAUGUAAUAUGGAUGCAAUUAUUUAGCUUGAGUGUUAUAACAUAUGUUAUAAAGCUAAUAAGCGUUUUUUUUGUUGUUGUUGUUUUUUGUUUGAUGCAGCACAAAUUAGAUGUGAUUUUCAUUACAGAACAGACUCAAAUAAUCUAGAAUGUAUAGAUAGAUAGUAGUUUAAGGUGCACAUGUUUUGCAAAGGGAGUUAUUCAAAUAACAUUUUUUUCAGAAAAGUGGCAGAUGCUGUGGAUUUAAUUAAUUUAAUUAAUAAUAAAAUUCCUUAUUUGGUAGAGAGGCAACCAGAACCAGAGGCAAUGUUUUUUUUAAUUUCACAAACAGUGACAAACACAGUACAGUCUGACAGAAAGGUGGGGUUGGGAUGGGGAGGGGUUCAGGGAAACAGUAAAUGCAGAGGAUUUCUGAAACACGCUGUGGACAGAAAUCUGAGCUGACAUGGUAAUGGCAUUUUUACCCAACUCUGUGCACAAGAGUGCCCAACCUUAUCAAAUAACAUCCAGCAUCUAUAGCAAACCUAAAUGAUAAGAUAAAACGAGCACAGGUGUACAGUACUGCUGUAUGGAAGACAUUCUCGAAGUAUUAGGGUGUGCGCACACAACAGUAAAACACCUUCAUAAACACAAGAGCAAAUAAUUGUGCAUUGGCUUCUAAAGUAUAUUUCCCUGAGCAAAAGGCUCAAACAGCAUAGAAAAUAAAGUCAUUUUCACUCAACCUUCACUCUGAAGUUUUCUCAGAGGCCAUAGUCACUUGGAGACUAACAUCAGAACUGUGCUGCUGUGUCGCAAAUCUUAAAAAUUAGAAGGCAAAACAAAUGCACAAACAGGGGACACCUUACAAAGAUGUCAGUAUGUUGCAAAACUGUCUAUCCAAGUCAAGGCUUCAAUAUAGGCCAUCUAAAGUAGGUAGCACAAAUUAUCUGUACUUUUAAUUACACAGAGAACAAUAUUCACCUUCAUCAAAGGCAUUCAACCAAACCAUCGCAGCUCCCUGCAUCAGUUGGCAAUAGUGUGGUGCACACCUCCCUUUAGCUAUGUCAUAUGUAGUGCAUUGUCACAAUCAGGUAAUAGUUAACGGCAUUUCAGUCGAUUAAUAAAGCGAGAAUAUGAUAAAGGCUCAUUUCGCCCACAGCAGCUUGCAGCGGUGGUAUGAAGCCAUUCGCUCUUAACUUCCUGCUGAGAGUGCAAUACAACAAAAGUGAGUGACAUUUUAACCUGUGGUGACGACAUUCAAAAACAUUUUUAUUUCCCCAAAUAUUUCCACAGAAGAUGCAAAGAAAAUUUGCAUAAAAAUGAUCAUUUGAGAACUACAGUUUGUAUACUUGUUCUUACUCAUUAGAUGAAACAUGCCUCGUUCAGUGCAAAGAAAUCAGUGCCUGAGCAGCCCUGAUCACAAGACCUGGCAAGGUGUUGGUUAGUAAAGCCAACAAAUUCUUGCCAGCUCUUCUCCUUUGCAGAUUAAGUUCAGUCACUAGAUAGGAGGUACUGUUAGAGUAUGACAAAAUAAUACCAAUGCAAAGCAUCUUUUGUUCAAGUGAAAUGAAUGAGAGCAGCGAGACGUGCCUUAAAAAACUGAAACAGGUCUUGUUUUUUAUAAUAUCCACGACACGCCCGAAAACGUAUCAGUUUUUAACAAGUGAAAUAUUUUUUAAUAACUUCUGGUAAGAAGAUAAAUAACUUUGGGCAAUUUAUAGAAUCUCUUCAAAUGACUUACAUUGCUUUUUUUUUUUUAACAUGUAUAA
Molecule: long non-coding RNA, 2131 nt
Organism: Haplochromis burtoni (Burton's mouthbrooder)
Lineage: Eukaryota; Metazoa; Chordata; Actinopteri; Cichliformes; Cichlidae
Exons: 2
Source: RefSeq, a predicted model, not a curated record